Molecule: small nuclear RNA, 75 nt
Filed under: Cavia aperea (Brazilian guinea pig)
Lineage: Eukaryota; Metazoa; Chordata; Mammalia; Rodentia; Caviidae
Source: RNAcentral
GUGCUGGCUUCAGCAGCACAUAUACUAAAAUUGGAACGAUACAGAGAAGAUUCACAUGGCCCCUGUGCAACAAUG